Molecule: ribosomal RNA, 253 nt
Filed under: uncultured bacterium
Lineage: Bacteria
Description: partial 16S ribosomal RNA
Rfam family: Bacterial small subunit ribosomal RNA
Source: RNAcentral
UACGGAGGGGGCAAGCGUUGUUCGGAAUUAUUGGGCGUAAAGAGUAUGUAGGCGGCUGGAUAAGUCAAGCGUGUAAGCCCACGGCUCAACCGUGGAAUUGCGUUUGAAACUAUUCAGCUUGAGUACAGGAGAGGAAGGCGGAAUUCCCAGUGUAGCGGUGAAAUGCAUUGAUAUUGGGAAGAACACCGGUGGCGAAGGCGGCCUUCUGGGCCGUGAUCGACGCUGGGGAGCGAAAGCUAGGGGAGCAAACAGG